UACUCACUGCUUAUGAUAUGAAUAAGACUUUAAGUGCUAUAUUAUAAGUCCCGAAUAAUCCUGCAGUACUUAAGUAAAUAUAAAUUAUAGGCACACGAAAACAGGGCGAUUCUAUACUGGUGACUCUGCCAUUUCCAUUCGACACAUAUUAUAAUAUCUAUAUUUAUCACUUAUUAUUUUAUAGUUCGUACAUAUUUUAUAAUCCACAAGAAGAAAUUUGAAAUUUAA
Non-coding RNA from Cinara cedri, 228 nucleotides. NCBI's taxonomy places the organism in Eukaryota, Metazoa, Arthropoda, Insecta, Hemiptera, Aphididae. The record is from the annotation of a GenBank genome assembly.